GACGAACGCUGGCGGCGUGCCUAAUACAUGCAAGUCGAACGCUUUUUCUUUCACCGGAGCUUGCUCCACCGAAAGAAAAGGAGUGGCGAACGGGUGAGUAACACGUGGGUAACCUACCCAUCAGCGGGGGAUAACACUUGGAAACAGGUGCUAAUACCGCAUAAUAUCGACAACCGCCUGGUUGACGAUUGAAAGGCGCAAUUGCGUCACUGAUGGAUGGACCCGCGGUGCAUUAGCUAGUUGGUGAGGUAACGGCUCACCAAGGCGACGAUGCAUAGCCGACCUGAGAGGGUGAUCGGCCACACUGGGACUGAGACACGGCCCAGACUCCUACGGGAGGCAGCAGUAGGGAAUCUUCGGCAAUGGACGAAAGUCUGACCGAGCAACGCCGCGUGAGUGAAGAAGGUUUUCGGAUCGUAAAACUCUGUUGUUAGAGAAGAACAAGGUGGAGAGUGGAAAGUUCCACCCUUGACGGUAUCUAACCAGAAAGCCACGGCUAACUACGUGCCAGCCGCCGCCGUAACAC
RNAcentral lists this ribosomal RNA (526 nucleotides) under uncultured bacterium. RNAcentral's name for it is "bacterial SSU rRNA". It matches the Rfam family "Bacterial small subunit ribosomal RNA", at positions 28 to 526 of the family's 1533-position model. The record is from RNAcentral.